Molecule: long non-coding RNA, 265 nt
Filed under: Brassica napus (rape)
Lineage: Eukaryota; Viridiplantae; Streptophyta; Magnoliopsida; Brassicales; Brassicaceae
Description: long non-coding RNA (BNAP_LNC000071)
Source: RNAcentral
CUAAGUAUACAAAGAAUAUGUCUAGGUAUAUAAAGAUACAGCUAAGUAUAUAAAGAUCCGAUGCAAUAAGGGAUAAAUAGCCGGUUAUUUAACAGGUACGACACACACAAAAAAAACAGACAACAACAUUUAUGGCCAUCUUGCAAACAUUACUAGCAUGAGUACUGUCAGUAGAUCAACUCUGGAUUAAAGAUGUCCUAAAUAAACAUGGCUAUCGUCUUAACUGACCAGAGUAUGGUGUCUGAUCAGAAAGCUCUAAGAACUU